GGUUUGAUCAUGGCUCAGAUUGAACGCUGGCGGGAUGCUUUACACAUGUGCAAGUCGAACGGCAGCACGGACUUCGGUCUGGUGGGCGAGUGGCGAACGGGUGAGUAAUGUAUCGGAACGUGCCUAGUAGCGGGGGAUAACUACGCGAAAGCGUAGCCAAUACCGCAUACGCCCCUUCGGGGGAAAGCGGGGGGACCUUCGGGCCUCGCACUAUUAGAGCGCGGCUGAUAUCGGAUUAGCUAGCUGGUGGGGUAACGGUCACUGUUGCGACGAUCCGUAGCUGGUUUGAGAGGACGACCAGCCACACUGGGACUGAGACACGGCCUAGACUCCUACGGGAGGCAGCAGUGGGGAAUUUUGGACAAUGGGGGAAACCUGAUCCAGCCACUCCGCGUGUGCGAUGAAGGCCUUCGUUGUAAAGCACUUUUGGCAGGAAAGAAUGCACGCGGAUAAUACCCUCGUGCAACUGACGGUACCUGCAGAAUAAGCACCGGCUAACCAUGUGCCAGCAGCCGCGGUAAUGUAGGUGCAAGCGUUAAUCGGAAUUACUGGGCGUAAAGUGCAGGCGGCCCGGAAAGAAAGAUGUGAAAUCCCGGAGCUUAACUUUGGAACUGCAUUUUUAACUACCGAGCUAGAGUGUGUCAGAGGGAGGUGGAAUUUCGGCAGUGAAAUGCGUAGAUAUGCGGAGGAACACCGAUGGCGAAGGCAGCCCGGGAUAACACUGACGCUCUGCGCACGAAAGCGUGGGGAGCAAACAGGAUUAGAUACCCUGGUAGUCCACGCCCUAAACGAUGUCAACUAGCUGUUGGGGCCUUCGGGCCUUGGUAGCGCAGCUAACUGCGUGAAGUUGACCGCCUGGGGAGUACGGUCGCGAUUUAAAACUAAAGGAAUUGACGGGGACUCGCACAAGCGGUGGAUGAUGUGGAUUUUCAAUUGAUGCAACGCCAAAAAACUCUUACCUACCCUUGACAUGUCUGAAUCCCGAAGAGAUUUGGGGGAGUGCUCGCAAGAGAACCGGAACACAGGUGCUGCAUGCCACGUCAGCUCGUGUCGUGAGAUGUUGCUAAGUCCUGCAACGAGCGCAAACUCCCCAAGUCAUUAGUUACUACGAAAGGAAAAUUUACGAGACUUGCCGGUGACAAACCGGAGGAAGGUGGGGAUGACGUCAUCCUCAUGGCCCUUAUGCGGCAGGGCUUCGCGUACGCUGGCACAAUGGUCGGGACAGAGGGUCGCCAACCCGCGAGGGGGAGCCAAUCCCAGAACCCGAUCGUAGUCCGGAUCGCAGUCUGCACUCGACUGCGUGAAGUCGGAAUCGCUAGUAAUCGCGGAUCGGCAUGUCGCGGUGAAUACGUUCCUGGUCUUGUACACACCCGUCCGUCACACCAUGGAGUGGGUUUACCAGAAGCGGCAGUUAGCCUAACCGUAUGAGGGCGAUUACCACGGCAGGAUUCAUGACUGGGUGAAGUCGUAACAAGGCAG
RNAcentral lists this ribosomal RNA (1479 nucleotides) under uncultured Bordetella sp. Its description in RNAcentral is "partial 16S-23S ribosomal RNA intergenic spacer". It matches the Rfam family "Bacterial small subunit ribosomal RNA". Lineage: Bacteria; Pseudomonadati; Pseudomonadota; Betaproteobacteria; Burkholderiales; Alcaligenaceae. The record is from RNAcentral.